GGUUGCCGGGAGGUUUGUGCCGGGAUGUUUAGGAUAGGUGGGAGGCUUUGAAGCGUGGACGCCAGUCUGCGUGGAGCCGACCUUGAAAUACCACCCUUUAAUGUUUGAUGUUCUAACGUUGGCCCCUUACCGGGGUUGCGGACAGUGUCUGGUGGGUAGUUUGACUGGGGCGGUCUCCUCCCAAAGCGUAACGGAGGAGCACGAAG
This 206-nucleotide ribosomal RNA is filed under the name Klebsiella pneumoniae. RNAcentral describes it as "partial 23S ribosomal RNA". It matches the Rfam family "Bacterial large subunit ribosomal RNA", at positions 2109 to 2315 of the family's 2925-position model. Lineage: Bacteria; Pseudomonadati; Pseudomonadota; Gammaproteobacteria; Enterobacterales; Enterobacteriaceae. The record is from RNAcentral.